RNAcentral lists this ribosomal RNA (613 nucleotides) under Enterococcus faecium. RNAcentral's name for it is "bacterial SSU rRNA". It matches the Rfam family "Bacterial small subunit ribosomal RNA", at positions 104 to 703 of the family's 1533-position model. The record is from RNAcentral. Lineage: Bacteria; Bacillati; Bacillota; Bacilli; Lactobacillales; Enterococcaceae.
GGGUGAGUAACACGUGGGUAACCUGCCCAUCAGAAGGGGAUAACACUUGGAAACAGGUGCUAAUACCGUAUAACAAUCGAAACCGCAUGGUUUUGAUUUGAAAGGCGCUUUCGGGUGUCGCUGAUGGAUGGACCCGCGGUGCAUUAGCUAGUUGGUGAGGUAACGGCUCACCAAGGCCACGAUGCAUAGCCGACCUGAGAGGGUGAUCGGCCACAUUGGGACUGAGACACGGCCCAAACUCCUACGGGAGGCAGCAGUAGGGAAUCUUCGGCAAUGGACGAAAGUCUGACCGAGCAACGCCGCGUGAGUGAAGAAGGUUUUCGGAUCGUAAAACUCUGUUGUUAGAGAAGAACAAGGAUGAGAGUAACUGUUCAUCCCUUGACGGUAUCUAACCAGAAAGCCACGGCUAACUACGUGCCAGCAGCCGCGGUAAUACGUAGGUGGCAAGCGUUGUCCGGAUUUAUUGGGCGUAAAGCGAGCGCAGGCGGUUUCUUAAGUCUGAUGUGAAAGCCCCCGGCUCAACCGGGGAGGGUCAUUGGAAACUGGGAGACUUGAGUGCAGAAGAGGAGAGUGGAAUUCCAUGUGUAGCGGUGAAAUGCGUAGAUAUAUGGAG